UCCCUGCCCCCGCCCUGCCCCGGGCGCACGGGCUGCGGGGGUGGGGACUCUCCCUGAGGUCACCAGGGGCUCCGCCUUGAGGUCACAGCCGCGGGAGGCCGUGCUCGUGCUUUGGAGCUCCACGUGAUGUGGUCGGUGGAAGACGUCUCCUUUGUCAGAAUCUGCGCUCAGAUUCCCGGAAUAGCUGCCAGACCGACCCCAGCGUUGAGCCCGGGAAGGGAAGAGUUUUCGCUGUUGUUGACCAGGCUGGAGUGCAAUGGUGCAAUCUCGGCUCACCACAACCUCUGCCUCCCGGGUUCAAGUGAUUCUCCUGCCUCAGCCUACGGAGUAGCUGGGAUUACAGGUUGGAGUGCAAUGGCGUGAUCUCAGCUCACCGCAACCUCUGCCUCCUGGGUUGAAGCGAUUCUCCUGCCUCAGCCUUCCGAGUAGCUGGGAUUACAGGCGUGAGCCACUACGCCUGGCUAAUUUCAACCAUUUGAUGAGCCAGCUACUUCUUUUGUGGUUCCCUGUGCAUAUGAAUAAACCCUUUUCUCCUGUUAA
Molecule: long non-coding RNA, 540 nt
Organism: Pan troglodytes (chimpanzee)
Lineage: Eukaryota; Metazoa; Chordata; Mammalia; Primates; Hominidae
Exons: 3
Source: RefSeq, a predicted model, not a curated record